GACGAACGCUGGCGGCGUGCCUAACACAUGCAAGUGGAGCGACGAACCAGGCUUCGGCCUGGGGCAAAGCCGCGAACGGGUGAGUAACACGUGGGUAACCUGCCCUGAUGAUUGGGACAACCCGAGGAAACUCGGGGCUAAUACCGAAUGUGCCCUCCGGCCUCAAGGCCGCUGGGGAAAGGAAGCUUCGGCCUCCGCAUCGGGAUGGGCCCGCGGCCCAUUAGCUUGUUGGUGAGGUAACGGCNCACCAAGGCGACGAUGGGUAGCUGGUCUGAGAGGACGAUCAGCCACACUGGGACUGAGACACGGCCCAGACUCCUACGGGAGGCAGCAGUGGGGAAUCUUGCGCAAUGCGCGAAAGCGUGACGCAGCAACGCCGCGUGGGGGAAGAAGGCCU
Molecule: ribosomal RNA, 397 nt
Filed under: uncultured bacterium
Lineage: Bacteria
Description: bacterial SSU rRNA
Rfam family: Bacterial small subunit ribosomal RNA
Source: RNAcentral